UACGUAGGGUGCGAGCGUUAAUCGGAAUUACUGGGCGUAAAGCGUGCGCAGGCGGUUCGUUGUGUCGGCGGUGAAAGCCCCGGGCUCAACCUGGGAAUUGCAUUUGAUACUCUGGAGCUUGAGUACGGGAGAGGAGAGUGGAAUUCCCAGUGUAGAGGUGAAAUUCGUAGAUAUCGGGAGGAACACCGGUGGCGAAGGCGGCGAUCUGGGUCGAUACUGACGCUGAGGUGCGAAAGCGUGGGGAGCAAACAGG
RNAcentral lists this ribosomal RNA (253 nucleotides) under uncultured bacterium. RNAcentral describes it as "partial 16S ribosomal RNA". It matches the Rfam family "Bacterial small subunit ribosomal RNA", at positions 524 to 776 of the family's 1533-position model. The record is from RNAcentral.